GGCUCCAUUUCUCAGUGAUUAGAGCAUUGGUCUAGGAAACCAGGGGUCGUGAGUUCGAUUCUCACUGGAGCCU
Molecule: non-coding RNA, 73 nt
Organism: Syngnathoides biaculeatus (alligator pipefish)
Lineage: Eukaryota; Metazoa; Chordata; Actinopteri; Syngnathiformes; Syngnathidae
Source: the annotation of a RefSeq genome assembly